GACGAACGCUGGCGGCGUGCUUAACACAUGCAAGUCGAACGGAAAGGCCCUGCUUUUGUGGGGUGCUCGAGUGGCGAACGGGUGAGUAACACGUGAGUAACCUGCCCUUGACUUUGGGAUAACUUCAGGAAACUGGGGCUAAUACCGGAUAGGAGCUCCUGCUGCAUGGUGGGGGUUGGAAAGUUUCGGCGGUUGGGGAUGGACUCGCGGCUGAUCAGCUUGUUGGUGGGGUAGUGGCUUACCAAGGCUUUGACGGGUAGCCGGCCUGAGAGGGUGACCGGCCACAUUGGGACUGCGAGACGGCCCAGACUCCUACGGGAGGCAGCAGUGGGGAAUAUUGCACAAUGGGCGGAAGCCUGAUGCAGCAACGCCGCGUGCGGGAUGACGGCCUUCGGGUUGUAAACCGCUUUCGCCUGUGACGAAGCGUGAGUGACGGUAAUGGGUAAAGAAGCACCGGCUAACUACGUG
Molecule: ribosomal RNA, 468 nt
Filed under: uncultured bacterium
Lineage: Bacteria
Description: partial 16S ribosomal RNA
Rfam family: Bacterial small subunit ribosomal RNA
Source: RNAcentral